GCAGGGUGUUGAUCUGUAUGUCGGUGUUUGGGAGUUUUAUUCAAUAGGAGAAACAACAGUUAUGCAACAGGUGCAAACUGAGUCCAGAUGAAGAAGGUGGUCACUGUUGCCAUGAAGGUAAUAAAAGGCAAUCAGUUGAUACAGGAAGUAGAUAUUGGUCAUGAGAUAUUCAGUAAAUUGUGGUGGUUUCAAAGAAUUGAGGUGCAAUAUCUUUGGAUAUCAUGAUUUUCAGAGGCUGAUGAGAUCCAGUUUGCUAUAUAAAUAUCUGCAAUAUGAGUCUAAAUUAUCCUUGCUGGUGAAAUGGCAUACUCAGAUCGAUCUCAAGUUUCUUUACUAUUGUUUCUAUUCGGACUAAUGCAAAGGUGGAUGAUUGAGAGACAAUGAAUUGUUAUCUGACUAGAGAAAACUGGAGUUUGAAGUCCCAUCGAGCAAUCGAGUAUAGUUCAACAAAGCUCCUACCGACAGAGGCUUCAGGACUAAGAAGGUACACAAGAGGAUCUAGUUCGUUGCUGCUGAUUCUAUAGUCAUGUGCAGCUUCCAUUCUUGCAGUGCCUCCGGCUAUGCCUUACACAAUCAAGCAGGGAAGGGCAAUAGCAAAGUUAAUAUCUAAUUAAAGUCACAAAUAGGUAGGAGUUAUUAUUAUGUUAAGAGUAUAUUCGCGUGACUCGAUGUCUCAAUAUGUUACAUGUAAGCCUUCAACAAUUUUAAUGUUUCAUAUACUCUCAACACGCUAGAUCGCUAAUAUGUGGACUGUGGAUGUGAUUCAUACGCGUACCAAACACAUGAAAGAAGUGAGCCAGUGCUAUGCCGAAAUCGGCGAAAUUUUAAACAUUUAUAUUG
This is a long non-coding RNA of Argentina anserina (silverweed cinquefoil), 840 nucleotides long. RefSeq lists it as uncharacterized. The transcript is spliced from 4 exons. NCBI's taxonomy places the organism in Eukaryota, Viridiplantae, Streptophyta, Magnoliopsida, Rosales, Rosaceae. The record is from RefSeq and is a predicted model, not a curated record.